CUAGUAUGAACGGUUUCAUGAGGGUCUAACUGUCUCCUAAGGCCUAUCAAUGAAUUUGAUGACUCAGUACAAACGCUGAAAUAAUCUCACAAGACGAGAAGACCCUGUGGAACUUAAAGUUCCAAAGCUAGCAACUAUCGCACUAAGCCGUCAAGCCUAGCAAAAACUUUCAGUUGGGGCAACUAUGGAGUAUAGCAGAACCUCCACGAACUGCAGCUACACCUGCACACCAAGGCUCACACGCCAAUACCAGACCCAGCCAGACUGAUCUACGAACCAAGCUACCCCAGGGAUAACAGCGCCAUCCCCUUCAAGAGUUCAUAUCACCAAGGGGGUUUACGACCUCGAUGUUGGAUCAGGACCCCCAGGCGGUGCAGCCGCUGCCAAAGGCUCGUUUGUUCAACGAAUAA
Molecule: ribosomal RNA, 410 nt
Filed under: Lygodactylus tolampyae
Lineage: Eukaryota; Metazoa; Chordata; Lepidosauria; Squamata; Gekkonidae
Description: partial 16S ribosomal RNA
Rfam family: Bacterial large subunit ribosomal RNA
Source: RNAcentral